RNAcentral lists this unclassified non-coding RNA (337 nucleotides) under soil metagenome. Its description in RNAcentral is "partial contains 5.8S ribosomal RNA, internal transcribed spacer 2, and large subunit ribosomal RNA". The stretch from base 1 to 120 matches the Rfam family "5.8S ribosomal RNA", at positions 35 to 154 of the family's 154-position model. The record is from RNAcentral.
GAUGAAGAACGUAGUGAAAUGCGAUAAGUAAUGUGAAUUGCAGAAUUCAGUGAAUCAUCGAAUCUUUGAACGCACAUUGCGCCUGCCAGUAUUCUGGCGGGCAUGCCUGUUCGAGCGUCAUUUCAACCAUCAAGCCCCCGGCUUGUGUUGGGGACCUGCGGCUGCCCGCAGGCCCUGAAAACCAGUGGCGGGCUCGCUGUCACUCCGAGCGUAGUAGCAUAUAUCUCGCUCAGGGCGUGCUGCGGGUUCCGGCCGUUAAAAGCCUUUUUUUACCCAAGGUUGACCUCGGAUCAGGUAGGAAGACCCGCUGAACUUAAGCAUAUCAAUAAGCGGAGGA